GUCCCAGCGAGUACUUGGCCAGGAGCACAUGUCGCUUAAAAAAAGCACAUAACCCUUUAGACCCAACAGUCAAUUAAGGCCUUGGUAGAAAUGUCAACCAUUGAGCCACCAUGAAGAGAGUGAAAACACCGUAGAAGAGUUCAGUCCUGAAGUGGGCAGAAAGAGGCUGAACUUGAAAAACUCAUACCCCCGGGGCCUCCAGUGUUUUUUGAUACAACAAGCUUCAGUACCACCCACAAGCUUGUGUAAACUCACAAGGGGCCACAGCUUUUGACAGACUUUAUGAAGACCAGGUCAACUGGUUCAGACAGCCUCUUUUUCUCUCAAGCUCCGAGAUGAGUUACCUGCCUUCUGUCACAUGUCUUCUGUCUCCUUUUUGCCAUUAGCUACUUCUAGUUGGGAGAAAAUUUUCCCCAGUCCUGGAGCUGUCAGCUAAAUAAUUCUUGACUCCUCUAUUCCUACCACAUAAGUGAAAUCAAGGAAUCACAGUGUCAUUCAACACUAGAGUCAUUCAAAUUACAAGGGUUGAAGAAUGGUUUCCUUAUAGCUAGCCUCCAUGAUUUAUUCCAUAUUCCUCCCAUUUAAGUCCAUGCUAUAUACCAGAAAGAUUUUCCUAAAAUGAAACAUUUCCUAUUUUUUCAAUUUCCUCUUCUAUUUUAAAUCUUGGUUCCUCAUUACUUAUAUCAAUAAAUAAUGUGAUUCCAAAUACAGCAUACCCUCCAAAAAAUCAUGAAAUACCCUUAUCCUUCAAUAUACUAGACUUGCUCUUUCUAAAACAUCUCCUGAAGAAGGUCUGCUGAAUUGGGGCUCUUUUUCUUAAACAACUUCAACUCACUUUUGCAGGCAAAGAUGGAACUAAAAAAUUGCCAACUGGUAUGAGAAGAACCUGAUUUUGAGGAGAAGGGGAAAAAGACAAAAGGAGAGAAGAACCAUGGAAAUGGAGAAGAGGAGAGAAGGCAAGAUUUCUCUGAUAGUUACAACAAUAGCCUUGCAGGUGCCCAAUACCUACAAGGAUAACGGGGGACAGGGAUAAGAGGGAUAAGGCAGAAUGGUCACUCACAGGGCCAGCUUCCUGGACAUGUGAUCUGUGCAGUUGCAUUGGGUCCCACACUCAGAAGGGCCUUGCACUUGGUUUAAUGUUCUUCUGUCAGCGUCUUGAAAUUCUUGAUAAUUUUACUUUUGACCUUGUGUUUUACAAUAAUGCUCUAUAUGUGUGUCCACUGUUCCUUGCCACCCUGUAAGCACAGAAUUCUGGUGGACUCACAAUGUGUGGGAGUUCAUUGAGACUUUGAGUACAAGCUAAAUGUGUCAUGUCUACACCUGAGUGAGCAGGGUGCUGACAACUCCAAGAGGCCAUGCUUUUCUUGGAAACUAGAACAUGCUUUGAAUGCAGAAAGAAAGCAUUGAUGCUCUAAGAAACACAACUACCAAAGGACCCUCUCAUGUCUUUUCUUACUGAUGUUACUUCCCUGAAUUAGCCAACCACUUUUUGCUGGAAAUGAUGACAUAGAAGCAAAGGGAGAAAUGGGGCAACUCAUAGAUCCCUUUCCUUUUAGACUUUCUAUAAGCUAAAGAUAGAGACUGUUGAUAAGCCUAAAUGUCCAUGGAUGGAUGGAUAAAGAAGAUAUGGUGGAUAUAUAUACAAUGGAAUACUACUCGGCCA
Non-coding RNA from Vicugna pacos (alpaca), 1663 nucleotides. NCBI's taxonomy places the organism in Eukaryota, Metazoa, Chordata, Mammalia, Artiodactyla, Camelidae. The record is from RefSeq and is a predicted model, not a curated record.